UAUGUAGGGACCGAGCGUUGUCCGGAUUCAUUGGGCGUAAAGAGCUCGUAGGCGGCCACUCAAGUCGAAUGUGAAACCUCGAGGCUUAACCUCGAGCCUGCAUUUGAUACUGGGUGGCUAGAGUCUGGUAGGGGGAUCUGGAAUUCCUGGUGUAGCGGUGGAAUGCGCAGAUAUCAGGAGGAACACCGGUGGCGAAGGCGGGAUCCUGGGCCAGUACUGACGCUGAGGAGCGAAAGCGUGGGGAGCAAACAGG
Molecule: ribosomal RNA, 253 nt
Filed under: uncultured bacterium
Lineage: Bacteria
Description: partial 16S ribosomal RNA
Rfam family: Bacterial small subunit ribosomal RNA
Source: RNAcentral